UAAGAAGCCAUCUUGUUUAAGCACAAACCUCAACAGGCAAUUCAUUAUACACAUAUUAUAUUCUUCUUGUUCUUGGCCUUUGUUUGCUCCAAGUUUAAUUUCUGCAUUCUACGGUACGAUGCAGAUAUUCGUGAAAAUGCUCACGGGCAAGACGAUAACCCUAGACGUGGAAACCUUCGACACCAUUAAUAAUUUGAAAAUCAAGAUCUAUGAAAAAACAGGGAUUGAAACAGAUCAUCAGAGGCUGAUAUUUGGUGGCAAGCAACUGGAGAAAGGCACUGUGGAGGAUUACUCCAUAAGAAAAGAGUCUACUCUUCAUCUUGUUCUUCGCAUGCUUGGUGCCAUGCAUCAAAAUCUUAAAUUUUCUCGUAAAUAAAUACUUUGAUUUUGUACUUUUUGUUUAAGCAAUAUUAGCCAGAAUCAGAAAUGAGAAGUGAUAAGCAGAUAGAAUAAAUUCUUGGAUAUUAAUACUGUUAUAUAUAAGUUACAUUCGUCUAAAUGAAUUUGAAUAAAAUUUGCUUAAUCAUUGUGUUCA
Nicotiana attenuata is the source of this 535-nucleotide long non-coding RNA. RefSeq lists it as uncharacterized. The record is from RefSeq and is a predicted model, not a curated record. Lineage: Eukaryota; Viridiplantae; Streptophyta; Magnoliopsida; Solanales; Solanaceae. The transcript is spliced from 2 exons.